Molecule: ribosomal RNA, 535 nt
Filed under: Alteromonas australica
Lineage: Bacteria; Pseudomonadati; Pseudomonadota; Gammaproteobacteria; Alteromonadales; Alteromonadaceae
Description: bacterial SSU rRNA
Rfam family: Bacterial small subunit ribosomal RNA
Source: RNAcentral
GGGACCUGAUGCAGCCAUGCCGCGUGUGUGAAGAAGGCCUUCGGGUUGUAAAGCACUUUCAGUUGUGAGGAAAAGUUAGUAGUUAAUACCUGCUAGCCGUGACGUUAACAACAGAAGAAGCACCGGCUAACUCCGUGCCAGCAGCCGCGGUAAUACGGAGGGUGCGAGCGUUAAUCGGAAUUACUGGGCGUAAAGCGCACGCAGGCGGUUUGUUAAGCUAGAUGUGAAAGCCCCGGGCUCAACCUGGGAUAGUCAUUUAGAACUGGCAGACUAGAGUCUUGGAGAGGGGAGUGGAAUUCCAGGUGUAGCGGUGAAAUGCGUAGAUAUCUGGAGGAACAUCAGUGGCGAAGGCGACUCCCUGGCCAAAGACUGACGCUCAUGUGCGAAAGUGUGGGUAGCGAACAGGAUUAGAUACCCUGGUAGUCCACACCGUAAACGCUGUCUACUAGCUGUUUGUGACUUUAAGUCGUGAGUAGCGAAGCUAACGCGCUAAGUAGACCGCCUGGGGAGUACGGCCGCAAGGUUAAAACUCAAG